GCGCUCGUAGCUCAAUUGGAUAGAGUAUCGGUCUACGGAACCGAUGGUUGCAGGUUCGAGUCCUGCCGAGCGCG
Molecule: transfer RNA, 74 nt
Filed under: Phycisphaerales bacterium
Lineage: Bacteria; Pseudomonadati; Planctomycetota; Phycisphaerae; Phycisphaerales
Also listed under: 1 other name
Description: tRNA-Arg
Rfam family: tRNA
About the family: Transfer RNA (tRNA) molecules are approximately 80 nucleotides in length. Their secondary structure includes four short double-helical elements and three loops (D, anti-codon, and T loops). Further hydrogen bonds mediate the characteristic L-shaped molecular structure. tRNAs have two regions of fundamental functional importance: the anti-codon, which is responsible for specific mRNA codon recognition, and the 3' end, to which the tRNAs corresponding amino acid is attached (by aminoacyl-tRNA synthetases). tRNAs cope with the degeneracy of the genetic code in two manners: having more than one tRNA (with a specific anti-codon) for a particular amino acid; and 'wobble' base-pairing, i.e. permitting non-standard base-pairing at the 3rd anti-codon position.
Source: RNAcentral